Molecule: long non-coding RNA, 566 nt
Filed under: Numida meleagris (helmeted guineafowl)
Lineage: Eukaryota; Metazoa; Chordata; Aves; Galliformes; Numididae
Description: lncRNA (ENSNMEG00000010795.1)
Source: RNAcentral
AUUUUCAUUCCAUAAAACAGAAUGAAAAUUAUAUGUUGCUCUUGUUCAGCACUUUAAGCUGUUCUUGCGUUUUUCCUCAGAUGAAAAUGUCCUUUAUGCAGACCUCAUCACAAAAAAUAGGAUGUUUUCUGCUGAAAGAUUUUGGGUGCCAAACUACAACCCAACACCUUCCCAAGCCUGGCUGAGGUUAUUACAUCAACUCUGGGAGAGAUGGAGGGAGUGUGUCUUCUCCGAGGAAUGCAUGUCAAACAAAUGGGGAUCCAGAAGCUGGCAAAGAAUGGCACCCAGUGUAACUGUCUCUCUUUGUAACUCUUACCUAGGGGUUCUGCAAUGCACUUGAUGUUCCAGGUCCCAGUACUCACACAGCCCUACUAUAUAACCUUUGCUCAUACUGCUAGGAAAAUGCUGAGAGAAAUUUUGCAGAAAGGUCAGAAAGGUAAAAUUAUAGGCAGAAAUAGGAUUGUUGAGACAAGAUUGUUAACCAUUCAAGCAUUCAAGAGGGAAAAAGAAACAUUUUGGAAAGAUAUAAAACCAUAAGGAAAAAAAUAAAACAGGUAGUUUGGCCA